CCAAGGUUCGACUCGAGCGCCAGCGAGAGAGCGUUGCCGCAGGCAACGACCCGAAGGGCGAAGCGCGCAGCGCUGAGUAAUCCUUCCCCCACCACCA
Molecule: small RNA, 97 nt
Filed under: Escherichia coli
Lineage: Bacteria; Pseudomonadati; Pseudomonadota; Gammaproteobacteria; Enterobacterales; Enterobacteriaceae
Description: partial RtT sRNA
Rfam family: RtT RNA
About the family: This family represents a bacterial cis-regulatory element known as RtT RNA. The exact function of RtT is unknown although it is thought that it may be involved in changing the cellular response in relation to amino acid starvation.
Source: RNAcentral